GCUGGGCGUGGUGGCGCGUGCCUGUAAUCCCAGCUACUCAGGAGACUGAGGCAGGAGACUCACUUGAGCCUGGGAGGCAGAGGUUGCAGUGAGCCAAGAUUGCGCCACUGCAUUCCAGCCUGGGCAACAGAGUGAGACCCUGUCUCAA
Molecule: unclassified non-coding RNA, 148 nt
Organism: Macaca fascicularis (crab-eating macaque)
Lineage: Eukaryota; Metazoa; Chordata; Mammalia; Primates; Cercopithecidae
Rfam family: Metazoan signal recognition particle RNA
About the family: The signal recognition particle (SRP) is a universally conserved ribonucleoprotein. It is involved in the co-translational targeting of proteins to membranes. The eukaryotic SRP consists of a 300-nucleotide 7S RNA and six proteins: SRPs 72, 68, 54, 19, 14, and 9.
Source: Ensembl